AACUUUCAGCAACGGAUCUCUUGGUUCCAGCAUCGAUGAAGAACGCAGCGAAAUGUGGUAAGUAAUGUGAAUUGCAGAAUUCCGUGAAUCAUCGAAUCUUUGAACGCACAUUGCGCCCUCUGGUAUUCCGGGGGGCAUGCCUGUCCGAGCGUCAUU
Molecule: ribosomal RNA, 156 nt
Filed under: Narasimhella hyalinospora
Lineage: Eukaryota; Fungi; Ascomycota; Eurotiomycetes; Onygenales; Gymnoascaceae
Description: Gymnascella hyalinospora 5.8S ribosomal RNA
Rfam family: 5.8S ribosomal RNA
About the family: 5.8S ribosomal RNA (5.8S rRNA) is a component of the large subunit of the eukaryotic ribosome. It is transcribed by RNA polymerase I as part of the 45S precursor that also contains 18S and 28S rRNA.
Source: RNAcentral